ACCAGGUCAGGACACGGUAAGGAUUGACGGACUGAAGGCUCUUUCUCGAUUCCGUGGAAAGUGGUGCAUGGCCGUUUUUGGUUGGUGGAUCGAUCCGUCUGGUUAAUUCCGUUAACGAACGAGACCUCGGCACUCCGAAUAGCGCGGCGGACGUCGCGGCCUCCGGGCCGUCUUCCGCACGAGCUUCUUAGAGGGACCGUCCCCCCGCCGGGGAAGGAGGUGCGAGGCAACGACAGGUCUGUGAUGCCCUUAGAUGUUCUGGGCCGCACGCGCAUUACACUGACGCGUCCAACGGGUGACUCCCGACCCGAAGGGGCCGGGGAAUCCGCAAGGCGCGUCGUGAUGGGGAUUGAACGUUGCAAUUGUUGUUCACGAACGAGGAAUUCCUAGUAGGCGCGGGUCAUCAACCCGCGCCGAUUACGUCCCUGCCCUUUGUACACACC
This 443-nucleotide ribosomal RNA is filed under the name uncultured eukaryote. RNAcentral describes it as "bacterial SSU rRNA". It matches the Rfam family "Eukaryotic small subunit ribosomal RNA", at positions 1217 to 1670 of the family's 1831-position model. The record is from RNAcentral.